This 292-nucleotide ribosomal RNA is filed under the name uncultured bacterium. RNAcentral's name for it is "partial 16S ribosomal RNA". The record is from RNAcentral.
GGACUACUGGGGUAUCUAAUCCUGUUUGAUCCCCUUGCUUUCGCGCAUCAGCGUCAGGAAUAAGAUAGAAAACCGCCUUCGCCACCGGUGUUCUUCCACAUAUCUACGCAUUUCACCGCUACUUGUGGAAUUCCGUUUUCUCCUCCUACCCUCUAGAGAUACAGUUUCAAAUGCAGUUCUGAGGUUGAGCCCCAGGAUUUCACAUCUGACUAUUAUCCCCGCCUACGCGCCCUUUACGCCCAAUAAAUCCGAUUAAUGCUUGCACCCUCCGUAUUACCGCGGCUGCUGGCAC